CCUACGGGGUGCUGCAGUGGGGAAUAUUGGACAAUGGGCGAAAGCCUGAUCCAGCCAUGCCGCGUGUGUGAAGAGGGCCUUCGGGUUGUAAAGCACUUUCAGUGGGGAAGAAAGCCUUGGGGCUAAUACCCUCGAGGAAGGACAUCACCCACAGAAGAAGCACCGGCUAACUCCGUGCCAGCAGCCGCGGUAAUACGGAGGGUGCGAGCGUUAAUCGGAAUUACUGGGCGUAAAGCGCGCGUAGGCGGUCUGAUAAGCCGGUUGUGAAAGCCCCGGGCUCAACCUGGGAACGGCAUCCGGAACUGUCAGGCUAGAGUGCAGGAGAGGAAGGUAGAAUUCCCGGUGUAGCGGUGAAAUGCGUAGAGAUCGGGAGGAAUACCAGUGGCGAAGGCGGCCUUCUGGACUGACACUGACGCUGAGGUGCGAAAGCGUGGGUAGCAAACAGGAUUAGAUACCCCAGUAGUC
RNAcentral lists this ribosomal RNA (465 nucleotides) under Vreelandella stevensii. RNAcentral's name for it is "partial 16S ribosomal RNA". It matches the Rfam family "Bacterial small subunit ribosomal RNA", at positions 338 to 795 of the family's 1533-position model. Lineage: Bacteria; Pseudomonadati; Pseudomonadota; Gammaproteobacteria; Oceanospirillales; Halomonadaceae. The record is from RNAcentral.